GUGUCAGCAGCCGCGGUAAGACGAACCGUGCGAACGUUGUUCGGAAUCACUGGGCUUAAAGGGCGCGUAGGCGGGCCGACAAGUCCGGGGUGAAAGCCCCCAGCUCAACUGGGGAAGCGCCUUGGAUACUUUUGGCCUGGAGGGAGGUAGGGGCGUGCGGAACUUCCGGUGGAGCGGUGAAAUGCGUAGAUAUCGGAAGGAACACCGGUGGCGAAAGCGGCGCGCUGGACCUCUUCUGACGCUGAUGCGCGAAAGCCAGGGGAGCAAACGGGAUUAGAAACCCCCGUAGUCC
Molecule: ribosomal RNA, 292 nt
Filed under: uncultured bacterium
Lineage: Bacteria
Description: partial 16S ribosomal RNA
Rfam family: Bacterial small subunit ribosomal RNA
Source: RNAcentral